This 264-nucleotide ribosomal RNA is filed under the name uncultured archaeon. RNAcentral's name for it is "partial 16S ribosomal RNA". It matches the Rfam family "Archaeal small subunit ribosomal RNA", at positions 718 to 982 of the family's 1478-position model. The record is from RNAcentral.
UACUAGUUAGACGUUACCCGGGUAGUCCGAGGUGUAAACGCUGCGGGCUUGGUGUUGGGGGGUCCUUAGUGGGCGCCCAGUGCCGGAGAGAAGUUGUUAAGCCUGCUGCUUGGGGAGCAUGUCCGCAAGGAUGAAACUUAAAGGAAUUGGCGGGGGAGCACCGCAACGGGAGGAGCGUGCGGUUCAAUUGGAUUCAACGCCGGACAACUCACCAGGAGCGACGGUUACAUGAAGGCCAGGCUGAUGACCUUGCCUGAUUUUCCG